GGUACGCACUACUGUCGGCCGGCUUUCGUGCCGGUUUUCCCGUCGUGGCCUUCGCCGGUUGCGGCGGGUGGCUGGCGAGUUUACUUUGAGAAAAUCAGAGUGCUCAACACAGGCGUCUAGCUUGAAUGAUUGUGCAUGGAAUAAUGGAAAAGGAUCACGGUCCUCUUUUAUUGGUUUUGUGGACUGAGAUAAUGGUUAACAGGGACAAACGGGGGCAUUCGUAUCGCUGCGUGAGAGGUGAAAUUCUUGGACCGUAGCGAGACGCCCGACUGCGAAAGCAUUUGCCAAGAAUGUCUUCAUUAAUCAAGAACGAAAGUCAGAGGUUCGAAGGCGAUCAGAUACCGCCCUAGUUCUGACCGUAAACGAUGCCAACUAGCGAUUCGCCGGUGGAUUUCACGCCCUGGUGAGUAGCUUCCCGGAAACGAAAGUCUUCCGGUUCCGGGGGAAGUAUGGUUGCAAAGCUGAAACUUAAAGGAAUUGACGGAAGGGCACCACCAGGAGUGGAGCCUGCGGCUUAAUUUGACUCAACACGGGGAAACUCACCCGGCCCGGACACCGUGAGGAUUGACAGAUUGAGAGCUCUUUCAUGAUUCGGUGGUUGGUGGUGCAUGGCCGUUCUUAGUUCGUGGAUCGAUUUGUCUGGUUUAUUCCGAUAACGAGCGAGACUCUAGCCUACUAAAUAGCCGCGAUAUUACUUUAACUGUGUCGCGCGCUUCUUAGAGGGAUUCGCGG
RNAcentral lists this ribosomal RNA (732 nucleotides) under uncultured eukaryote. Its description in RNAcentral is "SSU rRNA". It matches the Rfam family "Eukaryotic small subunit ribosomal RNA", at positions 672 to 1426 of the family's 1831-position model. The record is from RNAcentral.